This 224-nucleotide long non-coding RNA is filed under the name Gallus gallus (chicken). Its description in RNAcentral is "long non-coding RNA NONGGAT006501". Lineage: Eukaryota; Metazoa; Chordata; Aves; Galliformes; Phasianidae. The record is from RNAcentral.
UGGGCACUCAGCAGGAGCAGAGAUGCAGCACGUCUGGUGCCACUGUGAGCAAAGGCUGCAUUACAACAUGUGGGAGGUUGGGUUGCGUACAGGGCUGUGAGGAGCUCGCUGUGACUUGUGUGAGGAGCAAUGCAAGAGCAGUCCAUUGCUGGUGCCAAAAUUAACCUGACUUCCUCCACGCUGCAGUGAAUGGUUCUCAUGGAUCUGCCUUUGGAUAUGGACCC